This 2153-nucleotide ribosomal RNA is filed under the name Campylobacter lari. RNAcentral describes it as "partial 23S ribosomal RNA". It matches the Rfam family "Bacterial large subunit ribosomal RNA", at positions 1 to 2155 of the family's 2925-position model. Lineage: Bacteria; Pseudomonadati; Campylobacterota; Epsilonproteobacteria; Campylobacterales; Campylobacteraceae. The record is from RNAcentral.
AAAGGUAAGCUAUUAAGAGCGAAUGGUGGAUGCCUUGGCUGGUAAAGGCGAUGAAGGACGUACUAGACUGCGAUAAGCUACGGGGAGCUGUCAAGAAGCUUUGAUCCGUAGAUUUCCGAAUGGGGCAACCCAGUAUAUAGAGAUAUAUACUACCAUAAUGGAGCGAACGUAGGGAAUUGAAACAUCUUAGUACCUACAGGAAAAGAAAUCAAUAGAGAUUGCGUCAGUAGCGGCGAGCGAAAGCGCAAGAGGGCAAACCCAGUGCUUGCACUGGGGGUUGUAGGACUGCAAUGUGCAAUAGGUGAGGUUAGUAGAACACUCUGGAAAGUGUAGCCAUAGAGGGUGAUAGUCCCGUAUACGAAAACCAAACCUUAGCUAGCAGUAUCCUGAGUAGGGCGGGACACGAGGAAUCCUGUCUGAAGCUGGGUCGACCACGAUCCAACCCUAAAUACUACUACCAGACCGAUAGUGCACAAGUACCGUGAGGGAAAGGUGAAAAGAACUGAGGUGAUCAGAGUGAAAUAGAACCUGAAACCAUUUGCUUACAAUCAUUCAGAGCACUAUGUAGCAAUACAGUGUGAUGGACUGCCUUUUGCAUAAUGAGCCUGCGAGUUGUGGUGUCUGGCAAGGUUAAGCACACGCGAAGCCGUAGCGAAAGCGAGUCUGAAUAGGGCGCUUAAGUCAGAUGCUGCAGACCCGAAACGAAGUGAUCUAUCCAUGAGCAAGUUGAAGCUAGUGUAAGAACUAGUGGAGGACUGAACCGAUAGGCGUUGAAAAGCCCCCGGAUGACUUGUGGAUAGGGGUGAAAGGCCAAUCAAACUUCGUGAUAGCUGGUUCUCUCCGAAAUAUAUUUAGGUAUAGCGUUGUGUCGUAGUAUAAGGGGGUAGAGCACUGAAUGGGCUAGGGCAUACACCAAUGUACCAAACCCUAUCAAACUCCGAAUACCUUAUAUGUAAUCACAGCAGUCAGGCGGCGAGUGAUAAAAUCCGUCGUCAAGAGGGAAACAACCCAGACUACCAGCUAAGGUCCCUAAAUCUUACUUAAGUGGAAAACGAUGUGAAGUUACUUAAACAACCAGGAGGUUGGCUUAGAAGCAGCCAUCCUUUAAAGAAAGCGUAAUAGCUCACUGGUCUAGUGAUUUUGCGCGGAAAAUAUAACGGGGCUAAAGUAAGUACCGAAGCUGUAGACUUGAUUUUAUCAAGUGGUAGGAGAGCGUUCUAUUUGCGCCGAAGGUAUACCGGUAAGGAGUGCUGGAGCGAAUAGAAGUGAGCAUGCAGGCAUGAGUAGCGAUAAUUAAUGUGAGAAUCAUUAACGCCGUAAACCCAAGGUUUCCUACGCGAUGCUCGUCAUCGUAGGGUUAGUCGGGUCCUAAGUCGAGUCCGAAAGGGGUAGACGAUGGCAAAUUGGUUAAUAUUCCAAUACCAACAUUAGUGUGCGAUGGAAGGACGCUUAGGGCUAAGCAAGCUAGCGGAUGGAAGUGCUAGUCUAAGGUCGUAGGAGGUUAUAUAGGCAAAUCCGUAUAACAAUACUCCGAGAACUGAAAGGCUCUUCAAAGUCUUCGGACAGCGAGGAGAAUUGCUGAUGCCGUCGAGCCAAGAAAAGUUUCUAAGUUUAGCUAAUGUUGCCCGUACCGUAAACCGACACAGGUGGGUGGGAUGAGUAUUCUAAGGCGCGUGGAAGAACUCUCUUUAAGGAACUCUGCAAAAUAGCACCGUAUCUUCGGUAUAAGGUGUGGUUCGCUUCGUAUUAGGAUUUACUCCGAAAGCGAAGAAACUUACAACAAAGAGUCCCUCCCGACUGUUUACCAAAAACACAGCACUCUGCUAACUCGUAAGAGGAUGUAUAGGGUGUGACGCCUGCCCGGUGCUCGAAGGUUAAUUGAUGGGGUUAGCAUUAGCGAAGCUCUUGAUCGAAGCCCGAGUAAACGGCGGCCGUAACUAUAACGGUCCUAAGGUAGCGAAAUUCCUUGUCGGUUAAAUACCGACCUGCAUGAAUGGCGUAACGAGAUGGGAGCUGUCUCAAAGAGGGAUCCAGUGAAAUUGUAGUGGAGGUGAAAAUUCCUCCUACCCGCGGCAAGACGGAAAGACCCCGUGGACCUUUACUACAGCUUGACACUGCUAUUUGGAUAAGAAUGUGCAGGAUAGGUGGGAGGC